Molecule: ribosomal RNA, 2935 nt
Filed under: Serratia liquefaciens
Lineage: Bacteria; Pseudomonadati; Pseudomonadota; Gammaproteobacteria; Enterobacterales; Yersiniaceae
Also listed under: 1 other name
Description: 23S ribosomal RNA
Rfam family: Bacterial large subunit ribosomal RNA
Source: RNAcentral
GGGUUGUGAGGUUAAGUGACUAAGCGUACACGGUGGAUGCCUAGGCAGUCAGAGGCGAUGAAGGGCGUGCUAAUCUGCGAAAAGCGUCGGUAAGGUGAUAUGAACCGUUACAACCGGCGAUACCCGAAUGGGGAAACCCAGUGUGUUUCGACACACUAUCAUGUCAUGAAUACAUAGUGGCAUGAGGCGAACCGGGGGAACUGAAACAUCUAAGUACCCCGAGGAAAAGAAAUCAACCGAGAUUCCCCCAGUAGCGGCGAGCGAACGGGGAGGAGCCCAGAACCUGAAUCGGCUUGUGUGUUAGUGGAAGCGUCUGGAAAGUCGCGCAGCAAAGGGUGAUAGCCCCGUACACUAAAAUGCACAGGUCGUGAGUUCGAUGAGUAGGGCGGGACACGUGACAUCCUGUCUGAAUAUGGGGGGACCAUCCUCCAAGGCUAAAUACUCCUGACUGACCGAUAGUGAACCAGUACCGUGAGGGAAAGGCGAAAAGAACCCCGGCGAGGGGAGUGAAAUAGAACCUGAAACCGUGUACGUACAAGCAGUGGGAGCACCUUCGUGGUGUGACUGCGUACCUUUUGUAUAAUGGGUCAGCGACUUAUAUUUUGUAGCAAGGUUAACCGUAUAGGGGAGCCGUAGGGAAACCGAGUCUUAACUGGGCGAAUAGUUGCAAGGUAUAGACCCGAAACCCGGUGAUCUAGCCAUGGGCAGGUUGAAGGUUGGGUAACACUAACUGGAGGACCGAACCGACUAAUGUUGAAAAAUUAGCGGAUGACUUGUGGCUGGGGGUGAAAGGCCAAUCAAACCGGGAGAUAGCUGGUUCUCCCCGAAAGCUAUUUAGGUAGCGCCUCGUGAACUCAUCUUCGGGGGUAGAGCACUGUUUCGGCUAGGGGGCCAUCCCGGCUUACCAAACCGAUGCAAACUCCGAAUACCGAAGAAUGUUAUCACGGGAGACACACGGCGGGUGCUAACGUCCGUCGUGAAGAGGGAAACAACCCAGACCGCCAGCUAAGGUCCCAAAGUCAUGGUUAAGUGGGAAACGAUGUGGGAAGGCAUAGACAGCCAGGAUGUUGGCUUAGAAGCAGCCAUCAUUUAAAGAAAGCGUAAUAGCUCACUGGUCGAGUCGGCCUGCGCGGAAGAUGUAACGGGGCUAAACCAUGCACCGAAGCUGCGGCAGCGACGCUUAGGCGUUGUUGGGUAGGGGAGCGUUCUGUAAGCCGUUGAAGGUGGCCUGUGAGGGUUGCUGGAGGUAUCAGAAGUGCGAAUGCUGACAUAAGUAACGAUAAAGCGGGUGAAAAGCCCGCUCGCCGGAAGACCAAGGGUUCCUGUCCAACGUUAAUCGGGGCAGGGUGAGUCGACCCCUAAGGCGAGGCUGAAAAGCGUAGUCGAUGGGAAACAGGUUAAUAUUCCUGUACUUGGUGUUACUGCGAAGGGGGGACGGAGAAGGCUAGGCUAGCCGGGCGACGGUUGUCCCGGUUUAAGCGUGUAGGGGGUGUGACCUGGUAAAUCCGGUUGCAUAUCAACCCUGAGGCGUGAUGACGAUGCACUACGGUGCAGAAGUAGUUGAUGCCCUGCUUCCAGGAAAAGCCUCUAAGCUCCAGGUAACAUUGAAUCGUACCCCAAACCGACACAGGUGGUCAGGUAGAGAAUACCAAGGCGCUUGAGAGAACUCGGGUGAAGGAACUAGGCAAAAUGGUGCCGUAACUUCGGGAGAAGGCACGCUGGCAUGUAGGUGAAGUCCUUCGCGGAUGGAGCUGAAGCCAGUCGAAGAUACCAGCUGGCUGCAACUGUUUAAUAAAAACACAGCACUGUGCAAACACGAAAGUGGACGUAUACGGUGUGACGCCUGCCCGGUGCUGGAAGGUUAAUUGAUGGGGUCAGCCGCAAGGCGAAGCUCUUGAUCGAAGCCCCAGUAAACGGCGGCCGUAACUAUAACGGUCCUAAGGUAGCGAAAUUCCUUGUCGGGUAAGUUCCGACCUGCACGAAUGGCGUAAUGAUGGCCAGGCUGUCUCCACCCGAGACUCAGUGAAAUUGAACUCGCUGUGAAGAUGCAGUGUACCCGCGGCAAGACGGAAAGACCCCGUGAACCUUUACUAUAGCUUGACACUGAACAUUGAGCCUUGAUGUGUAGGAUAGGUGGGAGGCUUUGAAGCGUGGACGCCAGUCUGCGUGGAGCCAUCCUUGAAAUACCACCCUUUAAUGUUUGAUGUUCUAACUCGGCCCCAUAAUCUGGGGUGAGGACAGUGUCUGGUGGGUAGUUUGACUGGGGCGGUCUCCUCCCAAAGAGUAACGGAGGAGCACGAAGGUUAGCUAAUCACGGUCGGACAUCGUGAGGUUAGUGCAAAGGCAUAAGCUAGCUUGACUGCGAGAGUGACGGCUCGAGCAGGUACGAAAGUAGGUCUUAGUGAUCCGGUGGUUCUGAAUGGAAGGGCCAUCGCUCAACGGAUAAAAGGUACUCCGGGGAUAACAGGCUGAUACCGCCCAAGAGUUCAUAUCGACGGCGGUGUUUGGCACCUCGAUGUCGGCUCAUCACAUCCUGGGGCUGAAGUAGGUCCCAAGGGUAUGGCUGUUCGCCAUUUAAAGUGGUACGCGAGCUGGGUUUAGAACGUCGUGAGACAGUUCGGUCCCUAUCUGCCGUGGGCGUUGGAAGAUUGAGAGGGGUUGCUCCUAGUACGAGAGGACCGGAGUGAACGCACCACUGGUGUUCGGGUUGUCAUGCCAAUGGCAUUGCCCGGUAGCUAAGUGCGGAAAAGAUAAGCGCUGAAAGCAUCUAAGCGCGAAACUUGCCUCAAGAUGAGUCUUCCCUGGGCCUUUAAGGCCCCUGAAGGAACGUUUAAGACUAAGACGUUGAUAGGCUGGGUGUGUAAGUGCAGCGAUGCAUUGAGCUAACCAGUACUAAUGAUCCGUGAGGCUUAACCUUACAACACCGAAGGUGUUU